AUGCAAAUAACGGUAGAACACACUACACGGAGUAAACCGAGGAGGCCUACUAAUCACUUUAUGAAAACAGUAAGCAGAUCUGAGGGCGUAACGAGUGCAGAAGCAAAGAGAUGGGCGCUCACCGAAGACGGUGUUGAUGGGGUUCAUGGCCACCUGGUUCUUGGCGGCGUCGCCGAUGAGGCGCUCCGAGUCGGUGAAGGCGACGUACGACGGCGUGGUGCGGUUGCCCUGGUCAUUGGCGAUGAUCUCGACCCGGUCGUGCUGCCACACGCCGACGCACGAGUAGGUCGUGCCGAGGUCGAUGCCGAUCGCCGGCCCAUCGCCCUUCGCCGCCAUCUCUCGCGCUCAGGGGAGGCUGAGGCUCUCUACUGUGUGUGUUUUUUUCUUCUUCCGGGGUAG
This 399-nucleotide ribosomal RNA is filed under the name Triticum aestivum (bread wheat). Its description in RNAcentral is "partial small subunit ribosomal RNA". Lineage: Eukaryota; Viridiplantae; Streptophyta; Magnoliopsida; Poales; Poaceae. The record is from RNAcentral.